UACGGGGGGGGCAAGCGUUGUUCGGAAUUACUGGGCGUAAAGGGCUCGUAGGCUGCCAACUAAGUCAGACGUGAAAGCCCCCGGCUUAACCGGGGAGGGUCGUCGGGUACGGUCAGGCUUGAGGGCGGGAGAGGGUGGUGGAAUUCCCGGUGUAGUGGUGAAAUGCGUAGAGAUCGGGAGGAACACCUGUGGCGAAGGCGGCCACCUGGGCCGACCCUGACGCUGAGGCGCGAAGGCGUGGGGAGCGAACGGG
RNAcentral lists this ribosomal RNA (253 nucleotides) under uncultured bacterium. RNAcentral's name for it is "partial 16S ribosomal RNA". It matches the Rfam family "Bacterial small subunit ribosomal RNA", at positions 524 to 776 of the family's 1533-position model. The record is from RNAcentral.